RNAcentral lists this ribosomal RNA (492 nucleotides) under uncultured bacterium. RNAcentral's name for it is "partial 16S ribosomal RNA". It matches the Rfam family "Bacterial small subunit ribosomal RNA", at positions 29 to 507 of the family's 1533-position model. The record is from RNAcentral.
AGUGAACGCUGGCGGUAGGCCUAACACAUGCAAGUCGAACGGCAGCACAGUAAGAGCUUGCUCUUACGGGUGGCGAGUGGCGGAUGGGUGAGGAAUACAUCGGAAUCUACUUUUUCGUGCGGGAUAACGCAGGGACACUUACGCUAAUACCGCAUACGACCUACGGGUGAAAGCAUGGGAUCUUCGGACCUUGCGCGAUUCAAUGAGCGGAUGUCGGAUUAGCUAGUUGGCGGGGUAAAGGCCCACCAAGGCGACGAUCCGUAGCUGGUCUGAGAGGAUGAUCAGCCACACUGGAACUGAGACACGGUCCAGACUCCUACGGGAGGCAGCAGUGGGGAAUAUUGGACAAUGGGCGCAAGCCUGAUCCAGCCAUGCCGCGUGGGUGAAGAAGGCCUUCGGGUUGUAAAGCCCUUUUGUUGGGGAAGAAAAGCAGCAAGUUAAUACCCCGCUGUUCUGACGGUACCCAAAGAAUAAGCACCGGCUAACUUCGUG